RNAcentral lists this ribosomal RNA (549 nucleotides) under Triticum aestivum (bread wheat). RNAcentral's name for it is "partial small subunit ribosomal RNA". Lineage: Eukaryota; Viridiplantae; Streptophyta; Magnoliopsida; Poales; Poaceae. The record is from RNAcentral.
AUGGACUUAGAAGAUUUCACUACUGCUUGCAAACUCCCGCAGUGGGGCAAUGUUAAUGAACCCCAUAAAUCUGAAUAUAAAGACUUCCUUUCUAGUAUCACUGUGGGAGAAUCUAGAGAAAUAGCACAAGCUACCAUAGGGAGUAUUCAUUUUCCUGCUAUACAUUAUUUUGCUCUCUUCAUUGGUAGAUGCAUUAACGGUAAAGAUGAAGCAUUUCACAUGUGUGUUCCUGAUCUUUGUGUUCUCAAGAGUGAUGUAUUAGGUGACAAACAAUACAACUUGGGGGCAAUUGUUGCACAUAGGUUGCAUAAUAAUGGUUCAGUUGGAGAUUUGUUUGGAGGAAUUUAUGCGACCCGUGUGGCUAAUUAUCUUGGUAUACCUCCACAUGAAGAUGAUAGGGAGUUGCCUCCCGCUUAUUUAGAUUAUAAUGCCAUGCUUAGUCAUCAUUUUCUCGAAAGGAAUGAACAAUUCCUCCAGUAUCGACUAAUCUUUAACAGACAUCGUGCUGUCCAUAUUACUCUCCCUGCUCCUGCCCUUUUUGAUUAUUAG